GGAGUCGCAGCAGUAGCUAUGGCAGCUCUUAAACGGACCCCUUGCGCGUGAGUAAGAAUAAUACAAAAAUGUGUGUGUAUAUUAUAUACAUUUUUUUUUUUUUUUAAAUAUUCACCGUCAUGUAUUAAUAUUGCGUAAUAAUAUUAUGAAAAAAAAAAAAAAAAAUAAUAAUAAUAAUAUAACGGUCCGCCGCACGAUAUUCGUCGCCUGUUUCCGUUUGUUUAACGUCGUCGUAUAUUUAUAAUAGCAU
Non-coding RNA from Cinara cedri, 250 nucleotides. Lineage: Eukaryota; Metazoa; Arthropoda; Insecta; Hemiptera; Aphididae. The record is from the annotation of a GenBank genome assembly.